Molecule: ribosomal RNA, 482 nt
Filed under: uncultured bacterium
Lineage: Bacteria
Description: partial 16S ribosomal RNA
Rfam family: Bacterial small subunit ribosomal RNA
Source: RNAcentral
GACGAACGCUGGCGGCGUGCUUAACACAUGCAAGUCGAACGCUGAAGCUCAGCUUGCUGGGUGGAUGAGUGGCGAACGGGUGAGUAACACGUGAGUAACCUGCCCUCUUCUUUGGGAUAACGCCCGGAAACGGGUGCUAAUACUGGAUAUUCACUGAUUCUCGCAUGGGGGUUGGGGGAAAGGUUGUUUCUGGUGGGGUAUGGGCUCGCGGCCUAUCAGCUUGUUGGUGGGGGGAUGGCCUACCAAGGCGUUGACGGGUAGCCGGCCUGAGAGGGUGACCGUUGACAUUGGGAAUGGGACACGGCCCAGACUCCUACGGGAGGCAGCAGUGGGGAACAUUGCACAAUGGGCGAAAGCCUGAUGCAGCGACGCCGCGUGAGGGAUGGAGGCCUUCGGGUUGUAAACCUCUUUCGCUCAUGGUCAAGCCGCAGCUUUGGGUUGUGGUGAGGGUAGUGGGUAAAGAAGCGCCGGCUAACUACGUG